AUUGAACGCUGGCGGCAUGCCUUACACAUGCAAGUCGAACGGCAGCGGACCUUCGGGUGCCGGCGAGUGGCGAACGGGUGAGUAAAGUAUCGGAACGUACCUUUCAGUGGGGGAUAACGUAGCGAAAGUUACGCUAAUACCGCAUAUUCUGUGAGCAGGAAAGCAGGGGAUCGCAAGACCUUGCGCUGAUUGAGCGGCCGAUAUCAGGUUAGCUAGUUGGUGAGGUAAAGGCUCACCAAGGCGACGAUCUGUAGCGGGUCUGAGAGGAUGAUCCGCCACACUGGAACUGAGACACGGUCCAGACUCCUACGGGAGGCAGCAGUGGGGAAUUUUGGACGAAUGGGGCGGAACCCUACGAUCCACGCCACUGCCGCGUCGAGUGAAG
This 385-nucleotide ribosomal RNA is filed under the name uncultured bacterium. Its description in RNAcentral is "bacterial SSU rRNA". It matches the Rfam family "Bacterial small subunit ribosomal RNA", at positions 30 to 410 of the family's 1533-position model. The record is from RNAcentral.